CCCUGGUUAGCUCAGUUGGUUGAGCGCUCCACUUGUAAUGGAGAGGUCCCGGGUUCGAUACCCGAACCAGGCG
Ixodes scapularis (black-legged tick) is the source of this 73-nucleotide non-coding RNA. NCBI's taxonomy places the organism in Eukaryota, Metazoa, Arthropoda, Arachnida, Ixodida, Ixodidae. The record is from Rfam.